RNAcentral lists this non-coding RNA (30 nucleotides) under Mus musculus (house mouse). The record is from RNAcentral. Lineage: Eukaryota; Metazoa; Chordata; Mammalia; Rodentia; Muridae.
UGCAAUGGUUACUUCCUUAUACUAAGGGGU